Molecule: long non-coding RNA, 13099 nt
Filed under: Gallus gallus (chicken)
Lineage: Eukaryota; Metazoa; Chordata; Aves; Galliformes; Phasianidae
Source: RNAcentral
AUUUUCUAGAGCUGAUUGGUACAUUCAUUUAAAAAAAAUCAUUUUUUCUGUGGUGUGCAUCUUGUAAAUACCAUUGUCAGCCACGCUAUCAGAAGGGUGUGCUUGGGAACAUCAGUCUGGCCUGUAAACUUUCAGUGUAUGUGGCAUGAUGUAGGAAACAGACUCAUUCUGCUGUUCCCUGGGUAAAAGGAGAGCUCCCAGGAAUGUUGGCAGAUGAUAAGCAGAAAUGCCAGAACACUAAUCCUUCAGAGCAAAUCUUCUCAUUGCUACACUUUGACUAACAUGUUGCUGUGAACAGGACCUGGAAAUGUCUUGACAGUGACCUUCCCUCCUUCUUUACUUUGGAUUGUCCCUUUCACAAAGGAUUCUUUGGGGUGCACCACAAAGACCGAUGACUUGGCAUCAAAAGGCUUGUUCUGGGCCUCGAUUCUUUCCUUCUCUGACUUUCGGAGGUAGGGAGCUGCCUCCCCAAAGGCGGCCAUCUCAGCAUCUGGAGAAGCCAUGGCUGCGCUCACACAGGAAGCACAGUCAGAAGAGUGCUCUGUAGGAAAGAAAAUAUGUUGAGUCAGUGGGUAAAGUGUUCUGUGAAAGAGAGAAAAUCUACAAAAUACAGGCAUACAAAAUCUAAAAUAUACAGAGCCUGGAGUCCAGUGGUACUAGAAGGAAACCACAGCACAGCUGGAAGAGGCAGAAUGUGAGAAAUCCAUGGAUACAGGCAGUCCUGCACAGCAGUACAGUUGAUUGACCUUACAUGGCUUGCUGCAGCCCAAGCUCCACUGAGCAUCUCACUGGAGAAGAACCAGAUCAGCUAACCAGACAGGACAUUCCAAGAGGAGUCUUUGUGCCCUUGGAUCCUUAAUGAGCAGACUGACAAUGAAUGUGUAGCCUCAUACCCCUGAGUAAAAUCGGACCUCUCAGGAAUGCUGGCAUGAGACAAGAAGAAAUGCCGGAAUACUAAUUCUCUGGUGCAAAGCUCCUCAUCCCAACAUUUCUGCUAAGAUGUGGCUGAGCAAUGGACAUUGGAGAUGCAAAUGUCACAGCGAACUGUAUCUGGGCAGUGGGUGCUGUUUGAGGAGACAUUCAGAAUGCCAUUUUCAUCAGAUGACAAAGCAGGCGAACAGCUCCAGUUACAAAGCAGCACUGUGCUGACCUCCGGGAGCUGCUGGUAUGAGAAGGUGGUGGUGUCUACUCUGCUGGAGCUGUAAGAGCACUGUCAUAAAACCCUAACAGGAAGGCUCAGAGCCUGGAGUCCAGUGGUACUAGAAGGAAACCACAGCACAGCUGGAAGAGGCAGAAUGUGAGAAAUCCAUGGAUACAGGCAGUCCUGCACAGCAGUACAGUGUGAGCAUGGUGUUGACAUUCCCCACAGUGAAGAGGGCAUCCAGACAUGCCAUCCAGACAUGAAAACAGAUUACACUCCAUUUUCUGAAAGUUCCUAUAAAAUAUUCUGAGUUGGAAAGACUACACAAGAAUGAUCAAGUCCAACUCCUGUCUGCACAUAGGACUACCUAAAAAUUAAACCAUAAUUCUGAGAGUGUUUAAAUGCCCAUCUAGUAUGGCAGCAGCAGAGGUCUAACCAUGGCCACGUAAGGUGUCUGACUGGCUCCAGAGCCUCUCGUUUGUUCGCAUGCUAUUUUCACAAGACAAAAAAUUCCUGAUGCUGCAAUGGACUUAUGCCAUGAAGGACUGGAUCUUUCCUCCAGAAGGCAUUCACUGUGGCCCUGAGUCUUUCACUACUGCAUCACAGUUCUCGGAAUACACAGUACUUUGCCUUGACAUCUCCAAUUUCUUGAAAAGCAAAGGAAAAUUCACACAGCAGAGGGGGAAAAAAAGCAAAAAACAAAACAAAAAAACAUAAACAAAUUUUGUUCUACUUUCCCUUGAAAUUAUGUUGUUCAAUCCCUUUUUCAUGCUGAAACAUCUAUAACUCUAAUUAUUUCUCAGCACCAAAAAAACUCAUGUCUGACAGACACUCAGAGGCCUUACGAAACACAAACAUGCUGCCCUACAAACACCAACUCUUGGCUAUCAUAGAAUCACAGAAUUUCUAUGUUAUGAUAUUGACUUUCCUUGUCUUGUGUUCAGAGAGCAUGAAUAGAGGAGAUAGAGGCACUCAUGAGAACUGUUGAAGUGUGACAGUGGAGCACGAUCAAGAACUCUUGAGUUUGUGGCUCAGUACAAACUACACUCUCAUCUCUGCAUCUUGGAGCAACAACAACAUCAACCUUGUAGCCUGUUUAGUUAGAAAGAAAUUCCACAUCCAAUAUCUCCAUGUAAUUACCAUGGAACCAUCUGCAGACCUUCUGUUUAAAUCCUCUGCUCCUUCUACCCUGGGCUGCUCUGAACAUGACCUCCUGGACAGUUGCACUGACAUAAGAAGUUGCCACUGACCUGGCCUCCAUUUCAAAUGGAUUGAUCUUUUCUACCUAGAGAGGAUCAAAUAAAGUCAGUCCUGGCAGACCGUAGGAGAAUCACCUAGGAAAGUUUAAGAAUGGAUCUUCUUGGGAGUCAGUAUGCGUGAUGGAAGAUUUAACCUUGGCAGCUGGUGAAUUCCAGUACCAAAAAGUACCUGAUAAUGAGUUGUCAUCUCUCUGAAGAAGCACAGCAUAACUAUCACUAUCACACAGUUCAUGCUCUCAUGAGAGCAUUGGGUACCUUUGUUAUUGUCUCUAGAUUCUGUUAGUUAAACACUCAUCCUAGAGCAGCUGCACAAUGGACUUCAUAGACAUUUAGAGGAGGUGUGCUCAAAUCAGAUGGGUAUCCAGUAAAUGGAUGCCAAAAAACAGGACACUCUGAUACAUGAAUCUUCUUCACCAAAUGGAGGAUGCUUUUAAAAAGAUAUUUAGUUGUUUCCUUUGUACUGGGAUCCACAGGCUCUCCCACGCUCUGUCAUGAAGCUUUUUGUGAUCCUGAUCAGCACCAGCUCCUUUUACUUGACUGCAAAUUUGAAGAGAACACAUUCACAUGAAAGAUUAGCAGAAGAUCUCAAGAUGGCACCAAUCUCACCCUGCCCGUUCAAUGUCAUGCCACCAGCAGUUUCACCUGGAAAGAUGCUUGGUUAAUUCUGCUCAUAUCAAAAAGGAGCUCAGUGUAGGAGAAGCAGGAAAGCCAAGAGUGCCUACGGAUAGCAGCCUGCAGCAGACCAGGUAAGGCAACCUGUACUCAAGUGCACAGAAUGAAAUUCUUGGUCUUCACACUUGCAAGUAACAUGCAAGACUCCUAGGUGAGGCCUGUAAUGCCUCUUUAAAUACAGAUCCCUUUGCAUUCCCUGCUAGUCAGUCCUGCCAUGAUAAAGAAAGCUCUGGAAUGUUUGGCUUCUGCUCCAGCAGGAAACAUCCCAUGGAAGUGCAGAUGUCUGAACUGUGAACUGUGGCAGAGUGGCUGGGAAUGGCUCCAGUUUGACUGUGGACUAUGGGGUUAUGCAGAAUGGAGAAGGGAGUGCUUUGGACCUCAUUGCAGCCUUUCAGUACUUAAAAGGGAGCUUAUAAAAAAAGACGGAGACCAACUUUUCACAUGGUCUGACAAUGAUAGGACAAGGGGGGGGGGGGGAGGGGGGGCUAAACCAAAAGAGGGGAGAUUUAGGUUAGAUGUUAGGAGGAAAUUCUUUACUGAGAGAGUGACGUUUCACUGGCACUGCUGCCCAGAGAAAUGUGGGUGCCCCAUCCCUGGAGAUGAGCGUGGCCAGGCUGGGUAGGGCUUUGGGCAGCUUGAGCUGGUGGGGGGUGACCAGUUCAUGGCAAGGGAGUUGGAACAAAAAGAUAUUUAGGGUCCCAUUUAGUCAAAACUGUUCUAUGAUUCUAUGACUUUAUGACUCUCUGUGAGAGUAAAGACAUGCAAACUUUGUAUAGCAACAGUACAGUGAGCUUCCAUCUUCUGCAGUGCUAUACCCAAACCGUCACAGUUCCACACAGCGGGAUAAAUGCUUUCUCAUCUCAGUAUCUGCAAUUUCAAGGGACAGCAGUCCACAAGCUCCCUCAGCAGCCUCUACUGGCUCCUAUAUUCUACCACAGGAACAAAUCCAGGAAGGAAGGCUGAAGAGAUCAACAGAAUAAAAGCAACUAUGCCAUGGGCAAGAUGCCACCCAACUGCCCUACAGUUCCUCACAGGGGAUUGCAUAGAUGCCUUUCCAUCCCUUAAACUGUCACUGCCCAUAGCAAUUUGCAGCCCCACUGCUGCCUUGCAAUUGCAGUUUAGCUGUGGUAGACAGCUAAGUGCUAUACAACUGCUUGCUCACUAUCUCAAUGGGAGAGAAUUGAAAAAGUAAAAAUGAGAAUAUUUGUGAGCUGAGGUGAAGAUACCUUAACAGAUAAAGAAAAAGCAAGCAAAACAAAAUAAGGUAUUCACAGAAUCACCGAAUUGCAGGGAUUGGAAGGGACCUUGAGAGAUACCAAGUCCAACCUCUCUGUUAAAGUAGGUUCCCUAAAACAGGUCACACAGGUCAGCAUCCAGACAGUCUUGAAUAUCUCCAUAGAAGGAGAUUUCACAACAUCUCUGGGCAACCUGUUACAGUGCUCUGUCACCCUUACUGUGAAGAAGUUCUUUUGCAUAUUUGUUUGGAACUUCCUAUGUUCAAGUUUUGGGCCAUUGCUCCUUGUCCACACACCACCAAGAAGAUCCUGACCUCAUCCAUUUGCCUCCCUCCUCCAUUUAGAUAUUUAUAAACACUUAUCAGAUCUCCCCUCAGCCUCCAUUUCUCCAGGCUGAACAGACCCAGGCUUCUCUCAUAUGGGAGAUGCUCCAGGCCCUGUAUCAUCUUUGUGGCGCUCCACUGGACUCCUUCCAAAAGAUCCCUGUCUUUUUUGAACUGGGAAGACCAGAACUGGACACGGUAUUAUAAAUGUGGCAUCACUAGGGCAGAGAUCCCAACAUUAACUGCCAUCUGUCCAAGAGUCCCAUUCACAGAGCAUUUGCCCAGGAAGUGAGAGGUCUGUGUGCAGCGCUCUUCUCAGCUAAGGAGGGAUGUGCAUGCUCAGCAUCCUUUACAUGCCUCUGAGAUCUUGGUCCCUUACCAUCAGGUAAGGAUGUAUUCUGGUUGGAUGCACUGUCCACAGCCCCACCUUGAAGCUUGUCCGCUGAGCAGGCAGGCACACUAGACCUACACCAGCACUGUUCCCAAGUUAUGGCUCUAGUUCCCAUAGAGACAAAUGUACUUAGAUCCCUCCAGUCUCAUGUUCACCAUUUUCCUGGGUAGCUAGCUCUAGCCGUAGGUGGCUUUAUGCUUACUUUUAUCACGAGACAACUUCUGGAGGUGUUUCCUAACCUGAAUGACUGUAGGAGGCGAAAUCUUUCAGAGGUGAAAAAUCUUUGAGAACAGUGUGGAGGUCUCUUGUGCUCUUACCUGUAUUGAAGAGAAUAGGCAUCUACAUCUUGAGUGCAGUACUACCUAGCAGGAGGUGCUAAGAACACACUCUGCACCUCUUCUCUUCUGGCCUUCCUGCCACCCUCUGUGCCCAUGUCCCACUGGAUGGCAAAGGCAUUAUUUGAAUUUAGCAAGAAGCUUAGAUGAGGAGAGCAAUCCUUUGCAGCCUAGCCCUGAAGUUUCUGCAUUACUGUUCUAUGCUGUGUAGAGGUUGCUGUGUAUGCAGUGGGCUGUGUGGGUAAAGCACAUAUAGGUCAAUCUUGUGGUUCAUCUUUGAGGAUUGAGUGAGAGGAGAAAGGAGAAAUUGUCAGGCUCUACAUGCUUGAUGCAUCUCUGAUCAUUCUCAUUAGCUGCUCCUUUCCCAGGAGCUCCUUGAGCUACGUACCACUUCCUCCACCAAUCUCUCCAGGCCUUCUUUCCUUACCUCUGCAGCCCCCACCUGCUGACGCCCUGCUGGCAGCCCUCACUGGCUGCUCCAGCUAAUGCCUUCAGCGCUGAUGACUGAGUCACUUCCUCAAGGAGGAAUCUGGCUAUAGCAGGACCCAUGGAACAACCAGAGAGCAAGAAGUCUGUGCUCCUGAAUGGGUGAAGUUCCCUGACUUCCUCACUACUAUAAAAAAAAUAAAUAAAUCUUUUCAAGAUUUCCAGCAUGCAACCACUGCUGUUGGCCAUGCUGCUGUUAUUGUAGGGUCUGUCUAGACAUCAGUUUGCUCUGUAGCUCCUGCUUGCCACUGACAGAGAAUGCCCCACCUCUGCGGUAGCAACAUUUCUGCUGCUCUCAGCGUAAUAGGAGAGCUCACAGGAAUGUAAGCAUUGGACAAGUAGAAAUGUCAGAAUGCUACUCUGUGACAAAACCUUUCAUCCCUACGCUUCUGAUAGGAUGUGACUAGACCCUGGAGAUGGUAAGAAAACAUUUUCCAUAUCAAAAGGGCAUUUAUCAGUUCAGUUUAGAUGUGCUAAGGUGCAUGCUCUCAGUGUUCCCUGCAGAAUGUGUUUACUCCAUGUUUUUGAUGCAUCAUCUAGUUGGGAAAUUUGCCAUUAAACUAACACUACCAGUAAGUGUGCCUGAAGAAUGAGGUGAGAGAACUGCUAGAAGCAAUAACUGCUUUCCCAGGAAGAAUUACUUAGGAUCGUAAUGAAUGAGACUUAAAACCCACUGGUUGAAAAUCAUUGUGAGUCACACAUUCUUUGCUAUGGUGAAUGCAAUCAAAACUUCCUUGGUUUAUCUGUGAGCACUUGUGAAGACAAGCUCAAGUCACAGGCUGGUUAUGAAAGAAUUGUGAUGGUCUUGCUACGCCUUGUCCCUUGUGCUCCAUUCAGAAACUAAUUUCUACAGCUCGGAAUGCAGUUAUGAUUUACCUUCACUGAAUGUCCUAGGAGGAGUACUGGUGACAGAUGUGCUGUGAAGUAGCUUCCUACCGAGUGGUACCCUUGGAAGUUCCUAGAAUGAGUUAACUGAACACGAGAGGCAAACAAACCCCAUAAUCUAUGAUCACAAAAUGGGCAGAUUUCAGAUGCACACCACAGGUGCACCAUUACUGAGACUCCUGUCUGCAGCGCUAACAGCAGUGGAAGAGAUCUGGGCAGCAUGUUCAGGCCAACAAGAUGACAUUCAAGAUGCCCUUUCCAUAAUUCAGCAAAGCAGCUGAGGGGCUCCUGUUACAGAGCAGGUGAGUGGGGUGUGCAGGCUGGGAGACCACUGGAUCAAAAAAGUAAUGGAAAUAGCAAGUAGCAGGAAUCAGGGAGGAGGAAGGAAGGGGAAGGAAAGGAAAGGAGAGAGGGAGCGUGAUAUUACUCCCUGCAGGCAACAUAGAAUGAGCUGCACUUUUGAUAUCAAAGGUCCCCAUGGCACAACUUUCUGUCUUUGAAAGUGAUGCUCAGGAAGGAGAGACAGGUUGCCUAAGGCAAUGUAGAGUGACAUUUCAUCAAAACUCACCCAGUUGCUGGCAAUAUGUAUUUAUGGAACCCCUGAGCAGGACACGAUGUCUGGGUAUUCAGUAGCUCAUGAUGAAUUUCAACAGAUUAAUUGGUCCAAAUAUUUUAUGGCAUAUUGCUGUGAUGCACUACUGAAGAUAACUCAGAGAAAAGCAGACAAGCAAAUGUAGUUUUCUUCACUUUGUUACUAUCUCUGACUGAAUGCUACAAAUAAAUAUAUUCUAUAUUCUUCACACUUCUAAUUUUCAUACAAAGUCACACAUUUGAGGAAGCAAAAAUACUUAUUAAACUACAGAGAAUAUCUACAAGAUGUCUCAACAGAGUGUUCUACAGUUAAUUUACAUUCAUAGUAAGCCUACAGUUUGCCUCUUAGUAACCUGAUGUAUUUUAUCCACAGUCCUGUCUUGAAACUUAGAAGUACAGUUUUAUAUUUGAGGGAAAUCAGAGAAAGAAAGGACCUCUUUUUGUACACACUUUUCUUGGUUGCAUGCCAGAUCAAUCAGUAAAUGCAAGGAGAAUUCAGCUGUUGAAUUAAUUUUUUUUUCCUCAUGUUGUCAAGAAGUUUAUUCCCCUAAUACGGAACAGCGCGUACUUGCUCAGGAAGUACACGUCCCUCUAGUCCAGGAGUUCACGGAUCACAGGUCCUCUGCUGUUGGGCAGCGGUUCUGUUGGAACAUAUGCACUGUAUCUAUUUUAAACUUUCUUGCAGAGAUGGUCCUUUAUGGCCAUUUAGGAGCAGUGUUUUCUCCCUGGUCAGUUAGUGCUUGUCAGCUGGCAGGCAGCACAACUCCAUAAAUAGUGUGUCAAUGCAAAAGGCUAUUAUUCUGCAGUGAUGGCAGUAGGAACAAGGAAGGAAUCCUUGGUGUCCCUCUCCUUGGUAUGCUACUUGGGCUCUGAUAAUUUGUCAUCAUUUAUGGCCUCCCCAGCUGAACUGUACUGUUAGUUCAGCAGAAAACAAACUGUGAGAAUGCCUGGUUUUGUUUUCUUUUCAGUAUAUGAUGUAUCUAGUUUAGACUAGUACUCUGAUAUAUAGCACUGUUAGGGAUGUUUUUACAAUUUGAAUAGUUCUGAAAAAAUAGUUUCCUAAUAGGUCCAUAAAAAUAAUUGGAGUUCUCAUUUUCAACAGGUGCUUACAGUCUCUCUUAAAUUAAAGGCAAUAAAUUAUCUGUUUUGAAAGUUGAUGUUUUUAUAUACCUUAGAAUGCAGUCCCCAAACAAACCUUGCUGUUCAGGUACGCAAAUGAACAACCCAAAAAUGGGAAGUCUCUUUGACUGGAAAAAGAAGCUUUUUAUAGAUAAAAUAUAUAACAUAUAUAACACUUCUGUGGAAUUUUGCUGGGUAUUACAAGGCAAAAUCAGACAUAUACACCUUCUCAGAAAUUGCAGCAGCUUUUCCACACAGGAUUAGUAACUAUGAAAUAUAAAUGUAAAAAUAGGCAUGAUGAUCAUCACUGUUUCAGUUGUAGGAAAGCUACUGAUUUACUUACUAUUAUAUUAUUAUAUUAUUAUAUGAACUUUUGUAAGUUCAUAUAACUUUUGUAAGUUCAGAUAACUUUCAGUACCAUUCACUAUCUAGGCAGCCCUUGACAGAUGCUUAUCUAACCAUUCAAAGCAUAGGCCAAAGGAGAUUAUGCUAGACUACAGAUACUUUGUGCUAGUAUGCAGUAUUUCUCAUUCAAAUAUUUCAUAAAUCUUUACUCCACAUCACAUUUAAUGCAAAUUAAACAAUUAUAGUUUUGAUCAUAGAACCACCUACAGCCUUUAAUAAAAAUAUUUUCCAUUUUAGAAAAUUAUUUCUGUACUCCCAUAUGCAGUCUUUAUUUCUCUUAUAUCUUGAUUUGACAACAAACAUCAGUAUAUAACCCUUCAUAAAUCAUACUCUUUAUACUUGUAAUUCUAUCUCCUCUGCUCCCUACAGUACUGAAUUUUUUUUUCUCUCAAAAAACAUUUUUCAAAAGUGUUCUAUGCAAUCACCAAAAGACCCACUCCUAAGGAAAGCAAACAUUCACUCUGUUUGGCACCCUUUCCCUCCUGUGUGAGCUACACCACUUAGCAUGAUGUCAUCAACCAACUAGCUGAGGGUGAACUCAAUCCCACUGUGCAUAUCCCCAACAAAGAUGUUGAAUAGUGCCAGUCCUAGCACCAACCCUUGAGGAAUACCACUCUUCACUGACUCCCAGCUGAACAUAGAGCCAUUGACUGCAACUCUUUCAGUGUGAUCACCCAGACAAUUCCUUGUCCACCAAGUGGUCCAACUGUCAAAGCUAUGUCUCUCCAAUUUAUAGACAAGGAUUCCAUGUGUUCCUGUGUCAAAUGUGUUAACACAAGUACAGGUAAGCGAUGUCCACUGUUCUUCCUUUAUUUGCCAACACUGUAAUUCUGUUGUAGGCAGACACCAAAUUUGUCAAACAUUAUUUGCCCUUAAUGAAGAUGUGUUGGCUGUCACUGGUCAUGUCUUUUUUUUCCAUGUGCUUUAGCAUACUUUUCAGGAGGAUCUAUUCCAUGAUCUUGCCAGGCACAGAGAUGAGACAGACUGAGCUAUAGUUCCCCAAAGGCAUCUCUUCUUUCUUUCCUUUUUAAAAAUUGGGUUAUUUUUUCACUUUUCUAGCCAGUGGGAACUUCACCAGACUGCCAUGAAUUGUCAGAUAUGAUGGACAGUGGUUUAGCAAUUUUAUCCACCAGUUUCCUCAGGAUGCUCAGAUACAUCUCAUCUGUUCCCCUGGAUUUGUACACAUUCAGAUUCCUUAGACUGCCUUGCUCCUGUUAGUCUCCGACAGUGGACACUUCUUCAUUCUCCCAGUAUCUGCAUUUCGAUGCUGUGAGAUAAGUGGUGAAGACUAAGGCAAUAAAGUCACUGAGUACCUCAGCCUUCCGCAUAUCAUGGAUGACCAGGUCUCCUGUUUCCUUAUGAAGAGGGCCCACAUUUUCCCUAGUCUGCCUUUUAUUACUGACACACUUUUAGAAGCUUUUCUUGUUGCCCUUGAGAUCUCUUGCCAGAUUCAUUUCUAUCAGUGCCUUAGUUUUCCUAACCUGAUCACUGAGUGCUCAGACAGUGUCUCUCUAUUACUCCCAAGCUACCUAUCCUUGCUUCCAUAUUCUGGAGGUUUCCUUUUCAUGUUUGACUUUGUCCAGGAGCAUCUCCUUCAUCCCUACAGGCAUCCUGGUCCUUUUGCCAACUUCUGUUUGUUGGGAUGCAUCACUCCUGUGCUUGGAGGAACUGAUCCUUGAAUAUUAUCCAGCUUUCUUGGGUCCUUCUUCCCUCCAGGGCUUUAUUCCACAAUACUGUACCAAGCAGAUCCCUGAAGAGGCCAACAUCUAAUCUCCUGAAGCCCAGUUGUGAGCUUCCUCUGUGCUCUCCUUUCUGCUAUAAGGAUCUAAAACUCCACAGUGUCAUGCUCACCAUCCAAGUAAUCAUAAUAUUCUCUGUGUGGUGAAAAUAGCAUCUCUUGUGUUGGUGAUCUUACAUCGUUCCCAAGUGUGAAAGUGAACAUCACUGCUUUUAAACGCAAAAGAAUGAUAUGAAAGAAUGUCUAAGUGCUCUUUUCUGGCUAUAGUGAAUUUUAUCCUAGGGUCUUCAGUCCCUGUUGACAAAGGUCUAUUUCAGACUCAUGCUGGGAAUAAGUUUUAAUUAAAAUGCGCAGCAUGGACACCUCUGCUGUGCUUCCAUCUCAAACUGCCAUUAAUGUCCCGGAAUCUCUGCACACCUGUCCCUGAAAACCAUUUAGUGUAGGUGUCUUGUCCUCAGCACCUACUUCUGCCCCACUGGCAGUCUCCUAUCUUGCCACUUUAUUCUCUAGAGAGGAAACAGCCUGUGGCUCAGUGCCUGUUAGUGACUGCUGCUCACAGCAGCUGUCUCCCAGGGUUCUGCUCACAAGUCUCAGAUGGAAAAGAGAACCUCACAUCCUAUUCUUCUCACACCCUCCCAGGGUACCCUCUGCAAGAUGAAGCUUCAGGACAGGAGAGGCAGAGAAGGGGGAUGAGAGUCAGGAUUUCUUCUUCCCACUGUGACAGGCAUUCUAGAGUCCCAGCCUCUCCUCCAGAGCCCUGCAGCCAGAGCACAGCUACCAGAAGAGCUGCUACAGUCGCUCUUCCCUGUGGAUCAGUCAGGCGUGCGGUGGAGCUGGCAGUGUGGUUAAUGCCUCAUACUAACCUUCCAAUAGUCACAUCCUUCAGAGAACCCAUGUGCUGUCUUUUCUCAGCAGAUGGCCCAAUGCAAAUAAGGCCUUGCACAGGGACAAGUGCCUGUUCAUGUCAGUUCAGUAUCUCAUGUAUUAAUAAAUGACUGGUGAAUUUCAAAGCAUUCUUUGGUCCAGACCACCUGUCUUUGCCCUGGUCCAGUGAGUACAAAAGGCUGGGACACAAAUUUACUAAGAUUUCAACCCAUUUGAUUGAGUUUGGUGAUAACAUCUGAGCCAUGUAGUUUUACCAGGUUUAGAACAGCUCAGCCUUCAGUGAGAGCCGGUUGCUGGCUGGUAGCACACACGGCACCCAAAGGACAGUGCACCUCAGCGGCUCCGUUCUGCCACCUGCUGGCAACUUGUGCCCGGAGUUCAAAUAGAGCAGGGCUGCCAGUGUGAGCUCCCUGUGACUGACAGGAGCUGCUGGAGCCCGAGGCUGAGGAGAAAGCUCGUGGGGACUGUGUGCUCCAGAACAGGCCAGGGAGGUAAGGGGAUAGGCGCAGCCACUCUCCCAGCUGAUGUCUCUGGGCCUUGACUUCCUCUACCUGAUUGCCUGUGGGGACUGAACUUUCUGCAAGCAUCUGAAGCUGGGAGUAAGCUCUGCCUCUGACUUCAUCCUCAACCACUGAGGCUGCAAGGAGAGGUGGCUGUGCACUCUGAGGGGAACAGCUCAUCUUUUUCAUCUGUUGACACCCGGGAGAGGUGAUCACCUCCACCACACGCACUCCAAGCUGAACACCGACAGUUCCUGUGCAGCUGCCAUGCUCCUGGUGGCACAGCACAUCCCAGCAGAGCAGGGCAAGCACCCAGGCACUGCACUCACACACUGCCAUUCCACCGGCUGCAGAGGGGCCUCUCUGGCCUGCUUCUGACUGUUAACAUUGCAGCUGAGAAAGGAGCUGUGCCGGACGGAGCAAGACUUUCAGGGAUAAGAAUAGCACCUGCCAUCUUAGGACACAGCGCAGUUGUCCAGCUCCUGCACGGCAACACGUUGCAGUGAGAUAUAGAAGGCAAGCUACCCGCUGAGGAAUGUCUUCGAGUGCUAUUCGUGGAGGCGUAUCAUCUACAGCAGCAGGCCCGGCCCCACGCAGGAGCCUUGCAAGAGGGGUUAUUUUGAGCCUUGGGCACUGAGGAUGAAGGGAGACAAAUGACAGUGAUCCUCCUCCUGGCACAGGCAACCUCCAGAGCUCUGUGCACAACUGCCACAGCCUGUCACUGCUUCAGGGGAUGACUCUUGUGAAGCAGUUGGGCGAUGUGGUGGGACCUGAGAGCCCAGGAGAUGAGGGCCAGGAGGGAGCUGAGAAUUCGCUGGGGACACGGGGGCAGGCCUCAGGCCCACCUGUCCUGCAGCUCAGGCGCUCCACUGCCUGCUUUGUUUUUGACCACAUCCCUAAAGCAUCGGCACGUAACUUUGUGCAGGUGAACACCGUGAUCAGAGGAGACACCGUUAGACUUAUGAUUUGAUAGCUGCUUCAUCUUCAGAGAAUUACCUGCCCUUUCAUAUCAGUGCUUGUUGUAACAUUUUUCUUCGUACAGGUCAUCAAAGAAACUAGUUUCAAGUGCCACACUUACCAGUUUGUCCAGGAGCCUUCUUAUUCUUCUUCAGAGCUGCUGCCUUCACUCUUCCC